Molecule: small nuclear RNA, 103 nt
Organism: Pan paniscus (pygmy chimpanzee)
Lineage: Eukaryota; Metazoa; Chordata; Mammalia; Primates; Hominidae
Source: Ensembl
AUGCUUUGGCAGCACAUAUACUAAAAUUGGAACGAUGCAGAGAAGAUUAGCAUGGCCCCUGUGCAAGGAUGACACACAAAUUCAUGAAGCGUUCUGUAUUUUU